This 216-nucleotide long non-coding RNA is filed under the name Physcomitrium patens. RNAcentral describes it as "long non-coding RNA (PPAT_LNC011436)". Lineage: Eukaryota; Viridiplantae; Streptophyta; Bryopsida; Funariales; Funariaceae. The record is from RNAcentral.
GUGGGACGAUUUUCACCGACAAGUGUACAGAGCGGAACACACGAACAAGUUGACGACGAAUUAAGUCGCGUGUUUUUUUUUUAUUGGAUUGGCAGCAUCCAGAGAAGGAGGUGUGAUGGUGGCAUAUGAUGCGUGAAUCAAUAUAGUGGCAGGAUCAACAUUAAUCCUCUGCCGUGUCAGGCUAUCAUCUGCACACUUAUGAGGAGGAAGAGGAAG